GUAGCAGAUAGCUCAGUAACACGUGGCCAAACUACCCUAUGGAUCCGAAUAACCUCGGGAAACUGAGGCUAAUGUGGAAUAGCGUUCAUCGCCUGGAGUGGCACGAACGCGAAACGUUACGGCGCCAUAGGAUGUGGCUGCGGCCGAUUAGGUAGACGGUGGGGUAACGGCCCACCGUGCCCAUAAUCGGUACGGGUUGUGAGAGCAAGAGCCCGGAGACGGUAUCUGAGACAAGAUACCGGGCCCUACGGGGCGCAGCAGGCGCGAAACCUUUACACUGCACGCGAGUGCGAUAAGGGGACUCCGAGUGCGAGGGCAUAUAGUCCUCGCUUUUCACGACCGUAAGGUGGUCGUAGAAUAAGUGCUGGGCAAGACCGGUGCCAGCCGCCGCGGUAAUACCGGCAGCACGAGUGAUGACCGCUAUUAUUGGGCCUAAAGCGUCCGUAGCUGGCCACGCAAGUCUAUCGGGAAAUCCGCGCGCUUAACGCGCGGGCGUCCGGUGGAAACUGCGUGGCUUGGGACCGGAAGACCAGAGGGGUACGUCCGGGGUAGGAGUGAAAUCCCGUAAUCCUGGACGGACCACCGGUGGCGAAAGCGCCUCUGGAAGACGGAUCCGACGGUGAGGGACGAAAGCUCGGGUCACGAACCGGAUUAGAUACCCGGGUAGUCCGAGCUGUAAACGAUGUCUGCU
RNAcentral lists this ribosomal RNA (691 nucleotides) under Natrinema pallidum. Its description in RNAcentral is "bacterial SSU rRNA". It matches the Rfam family "Archaeal small subunit ribosomal RNA", at positions 78 to 768 of the family's 1478-position model. Lineage: Archaea; Methanobacteriati; Methanobacteriota; Halobacteria; Halobacteriales; Natrialbaceae. The record is from RNAcentral.